AGUGAACGCUGGCGGUAGGCCUAGCACAUGCAAGUCGAACGGCAGCACAGUAAGAACUUGCUCUUACGGGUGGCGAGUGGCGGACGGGUGAGGAAUACAGCGGAAUCUACUUUUUCGUGGGGGAUAACGUAGGGAAACUUACGCUAAUACCGCAUACGACCUACGGGUGAAAGCAGGGGAUCUUCGGACCUUGCGCGAUUGAAUGAGCCGAUGUCGGAUUAGCUAGUUGGCGGGGUAAAGGCCCACCAAGGCGACGAUCCGUAGCUGGUCUGAGAGGAUGGUCAGCCACACUGGAACUGAGACACGGUCCAGACUCCUACGGGAGGCAGCAGUGGGGAAUAUUGGACAAUGGGCGCAAGCCUGAUCCAGCCAUACCGCGUGGGUGAAGAAGGCCUUCGGGUUGUAAAGCCCUUUUGUUGGGAAAGAAAAGCAGCAGGUUAAUACCCCGCUGUUCUGACGGUACCCAAAGAAUAAGCACCGGCUAACUUCGUG
RNAcentral lists this ribosomal RNA (492 nucleotides) under uncultured bacterium. RNAcentral describes it as "partial 16S ribosomal RNA". It matches the Rfam family "Bacterial small subunit ribosomal RNA", at positions 29 to 507 of the family's 1533-position model. The record is from RNAcentral.